AGUGAACGCUGGCGGUAGGCCUAACACAUGCAAGUCGAACGGCAGCACAGUAAGAGCUUGCUCUUACGGGUGGCGAGUGGCGGACGGGUGAGGAAUACAUCGGAAUCUACUUUUUCGUGGGGGAUAACGUAGGGAAACUUACGCUAAUACCGCAGACGACCUACGGGUGAAAGCAGGGGAGCUUCGGACCUUGCGCGAUUGAAUGAGCCGAUGUCGGAUUAGCUAGUUGGCGGGGUAAAGGCCCACCAAGGCGACGAUCCGUAGCUGGUCUGAGAGGAUGAUCAGCCACACUGGAACUGAGACACGGUCCAGACUCCUACGGGAGGCAGCAGUGGGGAAUAUUGGACAAUGGGCGCAAGCCUGAUCCAGCCAUACCGCGUGGGUGAAGAAGGCCUUCGGGUUGUAAAGCCCUUUUGUUGGGAAAGAAAAGCAGCAGGUUAAUACCCCGCUGUUCUGACGGUACCCAAAGAAUAAGCACCGGCUAACUUCGUG
Molecule: ribosomal RNA, 492 nt
Filed under: uncultured bacterium
Lineage: Bacteria
Description: partial 16S ribosomal RNA
Rfam family: Bacterial small subunit ribosomal RNA
Source: RNAcentral